RNAcentral lists this long non-coding RNA (1269 nucleotides) under Pavo cristatus (Indian peafowl). Its description in RNAcentral is "lncRNA (ENSPSTG00000009699.1)". Lineage: Eukaryota; Metazoa; Chordata; Aves; Galliformes; Phasianidae. The record is from RNAcentral.
AAAAGCUCAGAAGAGGAGGAGCAACAGGAGGCAUUCAGGGCUAUGAUGUUUGUCUUCUAAAGUAACCGUUAGGUAAUGAAGCCCAGCUUUCCUGGAAAUGACUGAACAUCUGCCUGCUGACAGGAAGUAGUGAAUACAUUUCUUAUUUUGCUGUCUUUGUUCGCAUGCGCUGCUUUGCUUCACUUAUUAAGCCGUCUUUAACUCAAUGCAAUGUAUUUAAUUUUUGUUCUGACUUUUGCCUGUACAAUUCUCUUCCCCUACACCACUGUAAGUGAGAGUGAGCAAGCAGAACCUAGCUGCCUAUUGGGGUUAACCCACAAGUAGACAUUAUCAUGACUUGCAGUAGGAGAAAAUUAAGUUGUUACCGAGACCACAAAUCAGACUUGCUCAUUUUGGAGCAAAAUAAAAACUGCUUGUAAAGUAGUUGCUGUAAGAUGUGAUUUAUUGUACAUUUGUACUGCUGGAAAGUUUUGAGUUUGCUGAUAGUUUGGAGCACAUCUCACGGAUUUUGUUCAGCUAGUUUGCUCUGUGUAUAUGUAGGAGGGGCAUUCAUGCUUGUUUUUUACAAUCUGAAGUCUGAACUCUGAAGUUUUGUGGGUUUUGUUGUUGUUGUAUUUUGUUUCUGUGUUGUUUUGUUGUCAUCAUCCUGUGGAAAUCUGGGUGUAUUUGAUCAACUGAUAUCUUUGUACCUGGUAGGUAUCAUUUGGAGUUCCAGUCACGCUUUUGCAAAUCAGUUUCCUACAUGAAUUCUCAGAAUCGGAUUUUGCAUCUUCCCCAUAAAAACUGGACCCAUCUGUGAACCAUGCUGAAUAUUCUGUGGCACAAAGUCAGCAACAGAGUUUUUAUCUGAUAACAGUUGACAGGCAUACAAAACUUAAGGAAACUCUGUUACCCAAAUAUCUACUGUUUUUACUUCCUCCGGAUUCCUAAUAACAAUGCAUCAAUGACCUGCAGGAAUCACUCCACCCUCACCUCCCACUGGUUAUAUUACUCUCUGGAUUAGGAUUAGAAGAAGGGGAAAGAAACAAAAGAUUAGCUCACUCCCUUUGUGUUACUCAGUUUCAUUCUCACUGGGUGCUCAAGAAUGGAUUUACCUUCAAGCGUUACUGUCACCUGGACCAUUCGGCACCAUAUGUGAGAAGGAAAGGGAGGCAGGGUCCAAAGUGCAUACACUUCACUCCCUGUGUAGAUGAGGCAACAAGAGAGAAAAAAAAAAAAAAAGAAAAAAGAAAAAAAGAUAAAGCUGUUCGUCAUCUCUGUUUUGCAUAA